RNAcentral lists this ribosomal RNA (377 nucleotides) under uncultured cyanobacterium. Its description in RNAcentral is "bacterial SSU rRNA". It matches the Rfam family "Bacterial small subunit ribosomal RNA", at positions 376 to 770 of the family's 1533-position model. The record is from RNAcentral. Lineage: Bacteria; Bacillati; Cyanobacteriota.
CGCAAGCCUGACGGAGCAGGACCGCGUGCGGGAUGACGGCCUAAUGGUUGUAAACCGCUUUUCUCUGGGAAGAUGAUGACGGUACCAGAGGAAUCAGCCUCGGCUAACUCCGUGCCAGCAGCCGCGGUAAUACGGAGGAGGCAAGCGUUAUCCGGAAUUAUUGGGCGUAAAGCGUCCGUAGGUGGUUAUUCAAGUCUGCUGUCAAAGCGUGGGGCUUAACUCCAUAGAGGCAGUGGAAACUGGAUGACUUGAGUGCGGUAGGGGUCGAGGGAAUUCCCAGUGUAGCGGUGAAAUGCGUAGAUAUUGGGAAGAACACCAGUGGCGAAAGCGCUCGACUGGGCCUGCACUGACACUGAGGGACGAAAGCUAGGGGAGCG